UUAAUUCGUCGUUAAUAUAAAUAUUUUUCUAACGGGUUUUAAAUUUGUCCAAAAUUUUGGUAUUUAUUAUUAAUUCCAACGAUUUUUACCUGGAAUUAUUAUAAUUUUAUUAUUUAAUUAAUAUUAAACGGCCGUUUUUUUUUUUUGCGAUUUUUUACGGCCAAAAUCGUUUUUACAGCCCAAAUUUUUUCGGGUUCGCCGGUUUUUUUUAUCGGUUAAAAUUCGGGGUUGGGCCGGAAAUCGGUUUAAAUUUAAAACGGUAAUAAAUUAUUAACGGUUCGUUUUAUUAAUUUUACGUGGAAAAUAAAAUAAAUUUUUCGCGGAACGUUUAACGUAACCGUAAAUGGGGUCGGUAUAAUUAUAAUUCGGUAUUUUUCGUAAAUAUAAUCGAAUUUUUUAUACGGGCGGUUUAUAUAUAUAUUAUAUAAAUUAAAAAAUAUUUUAUCCCUAAUCCAAAAUUAUUUAACCGGGCGUUAUAAUUCGUUCGCCCCGGUCUUUUAACGUUAUUAAUUAUACGCAAUAACGGUUUGGAUUAAUUUGGAAUUUUUUUAUAAAUAUUCCAAAAACCAAAUGGCCCUGGUUUUUAAAUUCGAAACCGGUAUUUUGAAAAAAGGGUAAUAUUUGGUACCGUUUCGAUAUUAAAUUCAAAUAAUAAUUUGUUCGGAUUUAUUUCCGUAAUUAAAAAAUUCCGGUUAUUAAAAACCAAUUAUAUUACCCCCAAAUAAUUGGACCAAUUUUUUUAAUCGAAAAUUAUAUAAAUUUUAAAAUAUUAUUGGAUUUUUUAAUUGGCCUAUUCCGUAUUUCCGUCGGUUUCCGGGUAAUAAAAAAUAAAAAAUAAUUAUUCCACCCCCGUUUAUUUAUAUAAUUUUAUUUAAAAACCCCCCACCCAAUUGGAAUUUUUAUUAAAAAUAAUUUAAUUGGGAAAACCCCGGAAUUAUUAUUAAAAAAAUAAAAACCGCGCCGCGCAAUUUUCCGUUUUUAUUAAAUAUAUCGUUUUUAAUUAUAUAUAUUUGGAAAAUUUGUCCGUUAUUAUUAUUAAAUACCGAAAAAUUAUUUCCCCGUUCCCGGAUAAAUUGGUUAUAAAAUCGAUCGAAAUUUAUUUCCAAAAUUUAUCCGGUAUAAAUAAUAAUUGGAAAAAAUUUUAACGUAUUCGGCGUAAAAAUUUCGUCCGCCAAUAUAUAUUAUAAUUACGUACGAAACGUUUUAUAUAUUUUAUUAUAUCGUUCUAAUAAUAAUUUCUGGUAAAUAUAAUAAAUAUACCGUUUUUACCGGAAUAAUUUAUUAUUGGCGAUUUAUAAAUCCGUUAUAAUAUCGCCGUAAUUAAUAAUUCCCAAUUUGGUAAUUAUAACCGCCUUUUAUAUUAAAACGCCCCGAACGCGUUUAUUGCGUAAUUUAUUAUUUGCGUUUUCGUUUCGGUUUUUGGCGGAAAAUAACGUUUGUUUUCCUAUAUUACGUCCAAAUAUAUUUGGUAUAAAUUAUUUUUCGAUAAUAUUUCGUUCCAAAACCGGACCAAAUAUAUUUGGAAAAAAAUUUGCAAUUUCGGCGGGGGAACCGCGGCGGUUGCAAUAAUUAUCAUAUUUACCGGCGUUAAAUUAAUUUAUAAUUUGGCCGGACGUAAUAUAAUUAUUAAUUAUAACGUAAUAUAUUUAUUUUAUUUUUUUUAAAUAACGCGUUGGGGAUUUCCGUUAAUUGGCCCGGGCGGAAACGUAAAUUAUAAUUAAAUUUCGAAAAUAUUUUUAUUUAACGCAUUUAUUUUUCCAAAAUUUUUUUAAAUUUGGAAAAAUAUUUUAACGUUUUAUAAUUUAUUAAUAUUAAAAAAAACCGACAAACGUUACGGAAUUCCGCGUUUUAUAUUUUUAAAUAUAUUAUUACCGCGAAUAAUUUUUUAUUAUAAAUGGUAUAAUUUUUUUAAAUAUCGGUUAAUUUGGUCGAAUAGAACGCGACCGGAUAUUAUAAUUUAUCCGUUUUCUUUUGCGAAAGAUAAUUUUUUAACGCCGCGUCGAAAUAAUUAAUUUCCAUUUUCGUAUUUUUCGCGUUAUUUUAUUAGGCGAAUAUCGGUAUUUGGAAAAACGCGUAUUUUAACGUUUCGAACGUUUUUUCGAAUUUUUCCGUUUAUCGAAAUGGGGUUUUUUUUCGUAAAUAUUAAUAACGGGGCCGUUAAUAUUAAAUAAUUAUUUAUAAAAUUGCGAUAAAAAUUUGCGAAACCCAAAAAUCCGCAAAAUCCCCGGAAUUUCGUCGGGGUUUUCCAAUUUUAAAUUGUUUUUAUUUUUUCGGGGUCGGUUUGGAUUUUUUCCCCCGUUUUAAUAAUAAAUUUUAAAUAUUUAAUUUUUUUUACCGCAAAUGCGUUUUUAUCGAAAUUUAAAUUAAAUUUUAUUACCGCUAAUUUAUCCAAUAUCCGGGUUAUUUUCGACCAAUAAUCGGAUUUGGAAUUUAAAAAAUAAAUAAAAAUAUUAUCCAAAUAAAUUAAUAUAUAAUCCCCCAACGUAUUAUUUAAUAUACCGUUAAUAUAAUAUUAAAAAAUCGCGGGCGCCCCGGCGAAUCCGAACGGGUAUACCAAUUAUUUAAAUAAUCCGAAACGAAUUUUAAAUAUUGUAAAAUAUUUAUCGUUUUCCGUUAUUUGUAAUUUAUAAAAUACCGCGCGUACGUCCAUUUUGGUAAAUUACCGCGUUUUCGUUAAAAAACGUAUCAUUUUUUUAAUUAACGGUCAAAAAUAACGGUUUUAUAUAAUAAUAUUAUUUAAAAUUUUAUAAUUUACGUAUAAUUUCCAACCCCCUAAUAUUUUGCGCAUUAUUAGGACCGGGGCGGCCGCCGACGAAAAAUUGGCCCUAAUUUAAUUUUUAUCCAUUAUAUUUAUUAUUUGGCGUUAUAAUUUUAAUAAUUAUUUUCGUAAUAUAUAAUAAAAACGAUUUUAUAAAAAAACCGGAAUUUUCCCGGAUUUGUUUUUUUAUAAAUAAAUAUAAUAAUUAAAAUAACCCCGGUGCGGCGGUAAUUUUAACGUUUUCGUUUUGUUAAACAAAUCCGCGAAUUUCGCCAAUUCGGGGGAAAACGUCGUUUAUAAUAACAUUUAUUUAUAUAUAACCGUUAAUUGCAAAAUAUUAAUUAUUUUCCGGAAAAAUAUUAAUGCAAAUUUUAUUUAUUCGCCGUCGUAUUUUUUCGUUCGCCGAUACGCGGUUAAAAAAACGUUAUUAAUAACCACCGUAAAUUUGGUUAAAAUAAAACGUAUAGAUAAUUUGUUUAUUAAUAUAUUUUUUAUUACGUUUAUAAUUAAUUUUUUCCGCGUCGGGUCGAAUAAUAUCCGUCGGUAAAUUAUCCAGGGUAAUUUUAAUAUUACGUCCCGAAUUAAUCCCGGUAUAAUAUAAAAAAAUAUUAAUAUAACCCAUUUAUUAAUAUUUAUUUCGCAUUUGGCCAAUUUUUAAAUUAUU
RNAcentral lists this small RNA (3422 nucleotides) under Pyricularia oryzae. Its description in RNAcentral is "Magnaporthe oryzae sRNA M_BR32_EuGene_00066101". The record is from RNAcentral. Lineage: Eukaryota; Fungi; Ascomycota; Sordariomycetes; Magnaporthales; Pyriculariaceae.